CCUGGAAACAGAUGCUAAUACCGGAUAACAACAGAUGAUGCCUAUCAACUGUUUAAAAGAUGGUUCUGCUAUCACUCUUGGAUGGACCUGCGGUGCAUUAGCUAGUUGGUAGGGUAACGGCCUACCAAGGCGAUGAUGCAUAGCCGAGUUGGGAGACUGAUCGGCCACAUUGGGACUGAGACACGGCCCAAACUCCUACGGGAGGCAGCAGAC
This 213-nucleotide ribosomal RNA is filed under the name uncultured Lactobacillus sp. Its description in RNAcentral is "partial 16S ribosomal RNA". It matches the Rfam family "Bacterial small subunit ribosomal RNA", at positions 149 to 354 of the family's 1533-position model. The record is from RNAcentral. Lineage: Bacteria; Bacillati; Bacillota; Bacilli; Lactobacillales; Lactobacillaceae.